RNAcentral lists this ribosomal RNA (250 nucleotides) under uncultured bacterium. RNAcentral describes it as "partial 16S ribosomal RNA". It matches the Rfam family "Bacterial small subunit ribosomal RNA", at positions 524 to 773 of the family's 1533-position model. The record is from RNAcentral.
GACGGAAGGUGCAAGCGUUGUCCGGAAUCACUGGGCGUAAAGGGCGCGUAGGCGGCUUCUCACGCGUGCGGUGAAAGCCCGGGGCUCAACUCCGGGUCGGCCGUGCAGACGGGGGAGCUGGAGGCCGGUAGAGGCUGAUGGAAUUCCGGGUGUAGCGGUGGAAUGCGUAGAGAUCCGGAAGAACACCGGUGGCGAAGGCGGUCAGCUGGGCCGGGCCUGACGCUGAGGCGCGACAGCGUGGGGAGCAAAC